Molecule: ribosomal RNA, 428 nt
Filed under: uncultured bacterium
Lineage: Bacteria
Description: bacterial SSU rRNA
Rfam family: Bacterial small subunit ribosomal RNA
Source: RNAcentral
CGACGCGCACGGGUGAGUAACACGUAUCCAACCUACCGUUUACUACGGGAUAGCCUUCUGAAAAGGGGAUUAAUACCGUAUGGCAUUCUAAAGUUUCAUGACAUUAGAAUUAAAGGUUUACCGGUAAUCGAUGGGGAUGCGUUCCAUUAGAUAGUAGGCGGGGUAACGGCCCACCUAGUCAGCGAUGGAUAGGGUUCUGAGAGGAAGGUCCCCCACAUUGGAACUGAGACACGGUCCAAACUCCUACGGGAGGCAGCAGUGAGGAAUAUUGGUCAAUGGGCGAGAGCCUGAACCAGCCAAGUAGCCGUGAAGGAUGACUGCCCUAGUGGGUUAGUAAACUUCUUUUAUAAAGGAAUAAAGUGGUCCACGUGUGGAUUUUUGUAUGUACUUUAUGAAUAAGGAUCGGCUAACUCCGUGCCAGCCGCGGC